AGGACGAACGCUGGCGGCGUGCUUAACACAUGCAAGUCGAACGGAAAGGCCCUGCUUUUGUGGGGUGCUCGAGUGGCGAACGGGUGAGUAACACGUGAGUAACCUGCCCUUGACUUUGGGAUAACUUCAGGAAACUGGGGCUAAUACCGGAUAGGAGCUCCUGCUGCAUGGUGGGGGUUGAAAGUUUCGGCGGUUGGGGAUGGACUCGCGGCUUAUCAGCUUGUUGGUGGGGUAGUGGCUUACCAAGGCUUUGACGGGUAGCCGGCCUGAGAGGGUGACCGGCCACAUUGGGACUGAGAUACGGCCCAGACUCCGUACGGGAGGCAGCAGUGGGGAAUAGUUGCACAAGUGGGCGGAAGCCUGAUGCAGCAACGCCGCGUGCGGGAGUGACCGGCCGUUCGGGUUACGUAAACCGUCGUUUCCGCCGUUGUAGACGAACGCGUGAGUAG
Molecule: ribosomal RNA, 449 nt
Filed under: uncultured soil bacterium
Lineage: Bacteria
Description: bacterial SSU rRNA
Rfam family: Bacterial small subunit ribosomal RNA
Source: RNAcentral